UACAGAGGGGGCAAGCGUUGUUCGGAAUUACUGGGCGUAAAGGGCUCGUAGGUGGCCAACUAAGUCAGACGUGAAAUCCCUCGGCUUAACCGGGGAACUGCGUCUGAUACUGGAUGGCUUGAGUUCGGGAGAGGGAUGCGGAAUUCCAGGUGCAGCGGUGAAAUGCGUAGAUAUCUGGAGGAACACCGGUGGCGAAGGCGGCAUCCUGGACCGACACUGACACUGAGGAGCGAAAGCCAGGGGAGCAAACGGG
This 253-nucleotide ribosomal RNA is filed under the name uncultured bacterium. Its description in RNAcentral is "partial 16S ribosomal RNA". It matches the Rfam family "Bacterial small subunit ribosomal RNA", at positions 524 to 776 of the family's 1533-position model. The record is from RNAcentral.